RNAcentral lists this ribosomal RNA (595 nucleotides) under Chilodus punctatus (spotted headstander). RNAcentral describes it as "partial 16S ribosomal RNA". It matches the Rfam family "Bacterial large subunit ribosomal RNA", at positions 1808 to 2608 of the family's 2925-position model. The record is from RNAcentral. Lineage: Eukaryota; Metazoa; Chordata; Actinopteri; Characiformes; Chilodontidae.
CAAAAACAUCGCCUCCUGCUAAAUCUUCGAAGUAUAGGAGGUCCUGCCUGCCCAGUGACUUCUUGUUAAAUGGCCGCGGUAUUUUGACCGUGCUAAGGUAGCGCAAUCACUUGUCUUUUAAAUGAAGACCCGUAUGAAUGGUAAAACGAGGGCUUAACUGUCUCCCUUUUUUGGUCAAUGAAAUUGAUCUGCCCGUGCAGAAGCGGGCAUAUUAAUACAAGACGAGAAGACCCUUUGGAGCUUAAGACAAAAAGCCAACUGUAUAAAAACCCAUAUAAAAUGAAGUUUAACAAAACAGCCAUUUGGCCCACGUCUUCGGUUGGGGCGACCACGGAGUAAAACAAAACCUCCAUACAGAAUGGGAUUCCCUCUAAACCAAGAGAUACAUCUCUAAGUCGCAGAACAUCUGACUAUAAGAUCCGGCUUAUAAAGCCGAUCAACGGACCAAGUUACCCUAGGGAUAACAGCGCAAUCCCCUUCAAGAGUCCCUAUCGACAAGGGGGUUUACGACCUCGAUGUUGGAUCAGGACAUCCUAAUGGUGCAGCCGCUAUUAAGGGUUCGUUUGUUCAACGAUUAAAGUCCUACGUGAUCUGA